RNAcentral lists this ribosomal RNA (253 nucleotides) under uncultured bacterium. RNAcentral's name for it is "partial 16S ribosomal RNA". It matches the Rfam family "Bacterial small subunit ribosomal RNA", at positions 524 to 776 of the family's 1533-position model. The record is from RNAcentral.
GACGGAGGGUGCUAGCGUUGUUCGGAAUCACUGGGCGUAAAGAGCGCGCAGGCGGUCGUAUAAGUCGAAUGUGAAAGCCCCUGGCUCAACUAGGGAGAGUCAUUCGAUACUGUUCGACUCGAAGGCAGGAGAGGGAAGUGGAAUUCCGGGUGUAGUGGUGAAAUGCGUAGAUAUCCGGAGGAACACCAGUGGCGAAGGCGACUUUCUGGCCUGUUCUUGACGCUGAGGCGCGAAAGCUAGGGGAGCAAACGGG